CCCGCACAAGCGGUGGAGCAUGUGGUUUAAUUCGAUGCAACGCGAAGAACCUUACCUGGCCUUGACAUAGUAGAGACUUUCCAGAGAUGGAUUGGUGCCUUCGGGAAUCUACAUACAGGUGCUGCAUGGCUGUCGUCAGCUCGUGCCGUGAGAUGUUGGGUUAAGUCCCGCAACGAGCGCAACCCUUUUCCUUACUUGCCAGCAUUUCGGAUGGGAACUUUAAGGAUACUGCCAGUGACAAACUGGAGGAAGGCGGGACGACGUCAAGUCAUCAUGGCCCUUACGGCCAGGGCUACACACGUGCUACAAUGGUCGGUACAAAGGGUUGCUACACAGCGAUGUGAUGCUAAUCUCAAAAAGCCGAUCGUAGUCCGGAUCGCAGUCUGCAACUCGACUGCGUGAAGUCGGAAUCGCUAGUAAUCGCGGAUCAGAAUGCCGCGGUGAAUACGUUCCCGGGCCUU
This 461-nucleotide ribosomal RNA is filed under the name uncultured Acinetobacter sp. RNAcentral describes it as "bacterial SSU rRNA". It matches the Rfam family "Bacterial small subunit ribosomal RNA", at positions 920 to 1382 of the family's 1533-position model. Lineage: Bacteria; Pseudomonadati; Pseudomonadota; Gammaproteobacteria; Moraxellales; Moraxellaceae. The record is from RNAcentral.